Molecule: ribosomal RNA, 426 nt
Filed under: uncultured bacterium
Lineage: Bacteria
Description: bacterial SSU rRNA
Rfam family: Bacterial small subunit ribosomal RNA
Source: RNAcentral
GGCCAGCAGCCGCGGUAAUACGUAGGGUGCAAACAUUAUCCGGAUUUAUUGGGCGUAAAGCGCUCGUAGGUGGUUUGGAAAGUUGGAUAUUAAAUAUCCCGGCUCAACCGGGAGAAUGUAUCCAAAACUUCCUGACUUGAGGUAUGUAGGGGAAGAUGGAACACACGGUGUAGCAGUGAAAUGCGUAGAUAUCGUGUGGAACGCCAAUGGUGAAGACAGUCUUCUGGACAUUACCUGACACUGAGGAGCGAAAGCGUGGGGAGCGAACGGGAUUAGAUACCCCGGUAGUCCACGCUGUAAACGAUGCAUACUAGGAAUAUGGAGAAUCGACCCUCUGUGUUUCGAAGCUAACGCGUUAAGUAUGCCGCCUGGGUAGUACGGCCGCAAGGCUAAAACUCAAAGGAAUUGACGGGGGCCCGCACAAGC